GAAAUGCGAUAAGUAAUGUGAAUUGCAGAAUUCCGUGAAUCAUCGAAUCUUUGAACGCAUAUUGCGCCCUCUGGUAUUCCGGAGGGCAUGCCUGUCCGAGCGUUAUUACUACCUUCAAGCAAGGCUUGGUUGUUGAGCCAAUUGUCCUUUGAUGGACAGGCUUGAAAUGCAGUGGCGAUGCCGAGUCCUGUUGCCCGAGCGUAUGGAGCUCUGUCACACGCUUUAGUGGCCCAGCCGGCACUUCGUCGAUUAAACCUUAAAACCUAAGAUUUAACCUCGGAUCAGGUAAGGAUACCCGCUGAACUUAA
This 308-nucleotide unclassified non-coding RNA is filed under the name uncultured Onygenales. RNAcentral's name for it is "sequence contains ITS1". The stretch from base 1 to 105 matches the Rfam family "5.8S ribosomal RNA", at positions 50 to 154 of the family's 154-position model. Lineage: Eukaryota; Fungi; Ascomycota; Eurotiomycetes; Onygenales. The record is from RNAcentral.